This 424-nucleotide transfer-messenger RNA is filed under the name bovine gut metagenome. It matches the Rfam family "transfer-messenger RNA". From Rfam's summary of the family: Bacterial tmRNA, also known as 10Sa RNA or SsrA, is named for its dual tRNA and mRNA-like properties. Its role is to liberate the mRNA from a stalled ribosome. The record is from RNAcentral.
GGGGAUGUACCGGUUUCGACAGGGAUUGCUGGUGCAUAUCCAGGCAUGCGAAGCUGAAUUAACUCCUUAAACUGAUUCAAAGUUCUAAAUGCAAAGAAAAAAGAAGACGAAUACGUCGAAGAUGAAGCACAGCUCGCUCUUGCAGCUUAAUUAAAAGCGAAUAGAGGUCAGAGCCGCUCAGGAUAAAGAAAGUGGUUGCGUGAUUUUUUAUCCACCUUGAGCGCGAACAAAAAAGAUGCAAUAGUCUGCCGCUGACUAAUCUGUAUAACAGCAGACGAACUUGUGCUAAUGCACAUGAAUGACAGAUAGGAAGGAUAAAGGUGUAUCGCCUUGAACGCACCCCUUCAUUAAAAGUUCAAGACUAAGCAUGUAGAGUGGCUAUGACAGGAUUUUUGGACAGGGGUUCGAAUCCCCUCAUCUCCAU